RNAcentral lists this ribosomal RNA (397 nucleotides) under uncultured bacterium. RNAcentral's name for it is "bacterial SSU rRNA". It matches the Rfam family "Bacterial small subunit ribosomal RNA", at positions 355 to 769 of the family's 1533-position model. The record is from RNAcentral.
UGGGGAAUCUUGGACAAUGGGGGCAACCCUGAUCCAGCCAUGCCGCGUGAGUGAUGAAGGCCUUAGGGUCGUAAAGCUCUUUCGCCUGUGAAGAUAAUGACGGUAGCAGGUAAAGAAACCCCGGCUAACUCCGUGCCAGCAGCCGCGGUAAUACGGAGGGGGUUAGCGUUGUUCGGAAUUACUGGGCGUAAAGCGCACGUAGGCGGACUAGCAAGUUAGAGGUGAAAUCCCAGGGCUCAACCUUGGAACUGCCUUUAAAACUGCUAGUCUAGAGACCGGAAGAGGUUAGGGGAAUACCUAGUGUAGAGGUGAAAUUCGUAGAUAUUAGGUGGAACACCAGUGGCGAAGGCGCCUAACUGGUCCGGUACUGACGCUGAGGAACGAAAGCGUGGGGAGC